Molecule: ribosomal RNA, 73 nt
Filed under: uncultured Dermocybe
Lineage: Eukaryota; Fungi; Basidiomycota; Agaricomycetes; Agaricales; Cortinariaceae
Description: partial 28S ribosomal RNA
Source: RNAcentral
GUGACCUCAAAUCAGGUAGGACUACCCGCUGAACUUAAGCAUAUCAUAGCGGAGGAAAGAACUACAGGAUCCC